Molecule: ribosomal RNA, 447 nt
Filed under: uncultured Glomus
Lineage: Eukaryota; Fungi; Glomeromycota; Glomeromycetes; Glomerales; Glomeraceae
Description: SSU rRNA
Rfam family: Eukaryotic small subunit ribosomal RNA
Source: RNAcentral
CGGGGUUAAUAGGUUGGUCAUGCCUCUGGUAUGUACUGAUCUCACUGAUUCCUCCUUCCUGAUGAACCUUAAUGCCAUUAAUUUUGUGUUUUGGGAAUUUGGACUGUUACUUUGAAAAAUUAGAGUGUUUAAAGCAAGCUAACGCUUGAAUACAUUAGCAUGGAAUAAUGAAAUAGGACGUUCGAUCCUAUUUUGUUGGUUUCUAGGAUUGACGUAAUGAUUAAUAGGGAUAGUUGGGGGCAUUAGUAUUCAAUUGUCAGAGGUGAAAUUCUUGGAUUUAUUGAAGACUAACUACUGCGAAAGCAUUUGCCAAGGAUGUUUUCAUUAAUCAAGAACGAAAGUUAGGGGAUCGAAGACGAUCAGAUACCGUCGUAGUCUUAACCAUAAACUAUGCCGACUAGGGAUCGGAUGAUGUUAAUUUUUUAAUGACUCAUUCGGCGCCUUACG